RNAcentral lists this unclassified non-coding RNA (292 nucleotides) under Hevea brasiliensis (rubber tree). The record is from RNAcentral. Lineage: Eukaryota; Viridiplantae; Streptophyta; Magnoliopsida; Malpighiales; Euphorbiaceae.
GUCUAUCUUAUACUUGUCUCUCUUCUUCUUUGGUUCCAUCUUGUUAUGGUCAUAUCUACAUUGAAACUAGUGGUUGGCAGUUUGGUCAGAAAGAAAAGUUUGAAUUAAAAGUUUAAAACACUAAUGUUGAUGCACCAUGUUCUAGAAUGAUGUUGGAUAUGGGAAUUAUCUGAUUAUCCGAAUGAAUGGUGCAUAUGUAAACUGUUGUGAGAUGCACAAUUAAUCAUAUGGUGUCUUGGAAUUGCUUGUAGAAAAACAUGAGCAGUAAUUCUGAUCUUGAAGCCCCACUAAG